This is a non-coding RNA of Peromyscus maniculatus bairdii (prairie deer mouse), 529 nucleotides long. Lineage: Eukaryota; Metazoa; Chordata; Mammalia; Rodentia; Cricetidae. The record is from RefSeq and is a predicted model, not a curated record.
UGAAUUAUAAUUUCAAUAAUAAAUAAUCAAAUAAAUUAACUGACUAUUUUGAGACAGGGUCAAGCUAUGUAGUUCAGGCUGGCUUGGAAACUGCUGUGUAGACCAGAGUGGCCCAGAACUGCCACUGACUCUUCUACUACAGGUAUGUGCUCCCUUGUGCAGCUUAUGAGGAGAUAUUUACACACCUGAGCUCAGGACAUCAUGUGAAGAAUCUUGAGGCUAUCACGUCCCUACUCACUCAUGCCCUUCCUUCUUCAACAUCCAGUUCUGGGAUUUCUUAUGGUCUUUGAAGUAUCUGGCCUUGAGAUUGUAUUGCUAGCUCCAUCUCCUACUGAGUAUGCAGGAGAUUCAGGGAUUCAGCAUUCACUCCCAAAGAGAGCCAUUGCUUAAUAUUAAUGUUCCCUUGAGAUGCAGCAAUGCUUGCUGCCUUCAGAAUCAAACAAUAAGAAAUUCCACCCUCAAUGGGAGGCAGGGAAGAAUGUUGUGUCCUCACUCUGUGCCUAGCUUGCAUGAAUCUGGAACAGGGAGC